Uranotaenia lowii is the source of this 723-nucleotide long non-coding RNA. RefSeq lists it as uncharacterized. Lineage: Eukaryota; Metazoa; Arthropoda; Insecta; Diptera; Culicidae. The record is from RefSeq and is a predicted model, not a curated record. The transcript is spliced from 2 exons.
GCGAUAAAAUCAUCGAUUUUGCGUAAAUGUUUUUGUUUAUGAAUGAAUAAAUUUAUUUUAAUAUAUACGCAACAUUUAAUUAAUUUGAUUUACUAAAUUGAACGUUGAAAAUUUUCUAAUUUUUUUAAGUUCAGUGCACCUGGCAUCCCUGGUCGUUUUUGACCGUUGUUUGUUGCUUGCCGAAAAUUUGCAAAGUUCGCCGCGUCUUUUUACGUUCUCCGGGGUAAAAGAUGUUUUUCUUCGAGUGUAUUCGCCGGAUUCUGUUACGGAACCCCAGUGGUAUGGCUAGAGACGCCGUUCCGGAUCGAGCGGGGCUGAUUCAUUUGCUGCUACCGCACCGGGUGUUGAAAUUUCUACCCCAUUGGAUUCCUUGGAUCUGGACAUUGUGUUUUUCAGCGCCUGAAGUUCACCUAUAAAAAUGUGCAGCAUAGCGGUUUUCGUACAGCAGAAAGUGAGCGGAAAUUAAUAUCAUAAUCUCAUCCAGUUAAUAUUGCGAAUAGGUGCAGGAUGUCCGGUAGGAAGUACGACAGCCAUUGGUGUUAACAGAACCCCGGUAUAAUUAGGUGGUUUUCUGGUUACGAUAAAACGUCCGUCAGCUCGAUCGCUCGCCUGGGAUUUCUGCAGAGCAGAGAUAGCGGUCUGAAUUAAAAAAAAACGAUUAUGUGAAAAAUCAAUUAAUAGAAAAGCAAUAAAAUGAAAUUUUCGAUGACAUAAAGACGUGAA